This 755-nucleotide ribosomal RNA is filed under the name uncultured Bacteroides sp. Its description in RNAcentral is "bacterial SSU rRNA". It matches the Rfam family "Bacterial small subunit ribosomal RNA", at positions 8 to 770 of the family's 1533-position model. Lineage: Bacteria; Pseudomonadati; Bacteroidota; Bacteroidia; Bacteroidales; Bacteroidaceae. The record is from RNAcentral.
AGAGUUUGAUCCUGCUCAGGAUGAACGCUAGCUACAGGCUUAACACAUGCAAGUCGAGGGGCAGCAUUAGGUACAAUACUGAGAUGGCGACCGGCGCACGGGUGCGUAACGCGUAUCCAACCUUCCCGUUACUUUGGAUAGCCUUCCGAAAGGGAGAUUAAUACAGGAUGGUGUUUGAAUUCCGCAUGUUAUUAAACUAAAGAUUUAUCGGUAACGGAUGGGGAUGCGUGACAUUAGAUAGUAGGCGGGGUAAGGCCCACCUAGUCUACGAUGUCUAGGGGUUCUGAGAGGAAGGUCCCCCACACUGGAACUGGACACGGUCCAGACUCCUACGGGAGGCAGCAGUGAGGAAUAUUGGUCAAUGGUCGGAAGAUGAACCAGCCAAGUAGCGUGAAGGAUGAAGGUUCUAUGGAUUGUAAACUUCUUUUAUACGGAAUAAAACCUCCCACGUGUGGGAGCUUGUAUGUACCGUAUGAAUAAGCAUCGGCUAACUCGUGCCAGCAGCCGCGGUAAUACGGAGGAUGCGAGCGUUAUCCGGAUUUAUUGGGUUUAAGGGAGCGUAGACGGGGGAUUAAGUCAGUUGUGAAAGGCUGCGGCUCAACCGCAGCACUGCGUUGAUACUGGUUCCCUUGAGUGCGGUUGAGGUGUAUGGAAUUCGUGGUGUAGCGGUGAAUGCUUAAUAUCACGAAGAACUCCGAUUGCGAAGGCAGUACACUAAGCCGUAACUGACGUUAGGCUCGAAAGUGUGGGUAUCA